UACGGAAGGCAGCAGUGGGGAAUAUUGCACAAUGGGCGCAAGCCUGAUGCAGCCAUGCCGCGUGUAUGAAGAAGGCCUUCGGGUUGUAAAGUACUUUCAGUCGUGAGGAAGGUGUUAAGGUUAAUAACCUUAGCAAUUGACGUUAGCGACAGAAGAAGCACCGGCUAACUCCGUGCCAGCAGCCGCGGUAAUACGGAGGGUGCGAGCGUUAAAUCGGAAUUACUGGGCGUAAAGGGCACGCAGGCGGUUAAUUAAGUUGGAUGUGAAAUCCCCGGGCUUAACCUGGGAAUGGCAUUCAAGACUGGUUAGCUAGAGUCUUGUAGAGGGGGUAGAAAUUCCAUGUGUAGCGGUGAAAUGCGUAGAGAUGUGGAGGAAAUACCGGUGGCGAAAGGCGGCCCCUGGACAAAGACUGACGCUCAUGUGCGAAAGCGUGGGGAGCAAAACAGGGAUUAGAUACC
This 458-nucleotide ribosomal RNA is filed under the name uncultured bacterium. RNAcentral's name for it is "bacterial SSU rRNA". It matches the Rfam family "Bacterial small subunit ribosomal RNA", at positions 340 to 786 of the family's 1533-position model. The record is from RNAcentral.